UGUCCCUGUCCAUGGCGGGGGGGUGGAACUAGAUGAUCUUUAAGGUCCCUUCCAACCCUAUAACUAUUCUAUGAUUCACUGUUAAACACAUUUUC
This is a long non-coding RNA of Strigops habroptila (Kakapo), 95 nucleotides long. RefSeq lists it as uncharacterized. The transcript has 3 exons. The record is from RefSeq and is a predicted model, not a curated record. NCBI's taxonomy places the organism in Eukaryota, Metazoa, Chordata, Aves, Psittaciformes, Psittacidae.